GUGGGGAAUCUUAGACAAUGGGGGAAACCCUGAUCUAGCCAUGCCGCGUGAUCGAUGAAGGCCUUAGGGUUGUAAAGAUCUUUCAGGUGGGAAGAUAAUGACUGUACCACCAGAAGAAGCCCCGGCUAACUCCGUGCCAGCAGCCGCGGUAAUACGGAGGGGGCUAGCGUUGUUCGGAAUUACUGGGCGUAAAGCGCACGUAGGCGGAUUGGAAAGUUGGGGGUGAAAUCCCGGGGCUCAACCCCGGAACUGCCUUCAAAACUCCCAGUCUUGAGUUCGAGAGAGGUGAGUGGAAUUCCGAGUGUAGAGGUGAAAUUCGUAGAUAUUCGGAGGAACACCAGUGGCGAAGGCGGCUCACUGGCUCGAUACUGACGCUGAGGUGCGAAAGCGUGGGGAGCAAACAGGAUUAGAAACCCUAGUAGUCC
This 425-nucleotide ribosomal RNA is filed under the name uncultured bacterium. RNAcentral's name for it is "partial 16S ribosomal RNA". It matches the Rfam family "Bacterial small subunit ribosomal RNA", at positions 354 to 796 of the family's 1533-position model. The record is from RNAcentral.